GAGUUUGAUCCUGGCUCAGGAUGAACGCUAGCGGCAGGCUUAACACAUGCAAGUCGAGGGGUAACGAUGUCUUCGGACAGGCGACGACCGGCGCACGGGUGAGUAUCGCGUUUGUAACCUACCUUUAACUGGAGCAUAGCCCGAAGAAAUUCGGAUUAAUACUCCAUAAUACUAUGAACUGGCAUCUUUUUAUAGUUAAAGCUCCGGCGGUUAAAGAUGGGCAUGCGUAACAUUAGCUAGUUGGUGAGGUAAUAGCUCACCAAGGCUACGAUGUUUAGGGGGUCUGAGAGGAUGGUCCCCCACACUGGUACUGAGACACGGACCAGACUCCUACGGGAGGCAGCAGUGAGGAAUAUUGGUCAAUGGGCGCAAGCCUGAACCAGCCAUGCCGCGUGAAGGAUGACGGCGCUAUGCGUUGUAAACUUCUUUUGUACGGGAAGAAACCCUGCUACGUGUAGCAGUUUGACGGUACCGUACGAAUAAGCAUCGGCUAACUCCGUGCCAGCAGCCGCGGUAAUACGGAGGAUGCAAGCGUUAUCCGGAUUUAUUGGGUUUAAAGGGUACGUAGGCGGAGACUUAAGUCAGUAGUGAAAUCCUGCAGCUUAACUGUAGAACUGUUAUUGAUACUGGGUCUCUUGAAUAUUGUUGAGGUAGGCGGAAUAAGUAAUGUAGCGGUGAAAUGCUUAGAUAUUACUUAGAACACCGAUUGCGAAGGCAGCUUACUAAGCAAUUAUUGACGCUGAGGUACGAAAGCGUGGGGAGCGAACAGGAUUAGAUACCCUGGUAGUC
This 789-nucleotide ribosomal RNA is filed under the name uncultured Bacteroidota bacterium. RNAcentral describes it as "bacterial SSU rRNA". It matches the Rfam family "Bacterial small subunit ribosomal RNA", at positions 9 to 795 of the family's 1533-position model. Lineage: Bacteria; Pseudomonadati; Bacteroidota. The record is from RNAcentral.